UGGGGAAUAUUGCACAAUGGGCGCAAGCCUGAUGCAGCCAUGCCGCGUGUAUGAAGAAGGCCUUCGGGUUGUAAAGUACUUUCAGCGGGGAGGAAGGGAGUAAAGGUAAUACCUUUACUCAUUGACGUUACCCGCAGAAGAAGCACCGGCUAACUCCGUGCCAGCAGCCGCGGUAAUACGGAGGGUGCAAGCGUUAAUCGGAAUUACUGGGCGUAAAGCGCACGCAGGCGGUUUGUUAAGUCAGAUGUGAAAUCCCCGGGCUCAACCUGGGAACUGCAGCUGAUACUGGCAAGCUUGAGUCUCGUAGAGGGGGGAAGAAUUCCAGGUGUAGCGGUGAAAUGCGUAGAGAUCUGGAGGAAUACCGGUGGCGAAGGCGGCCCCCUGGACGAAGACUGACGCUCAGGUGCGAAAGCGUGGGGAGCAAACAGG
Molecule: ribosomal RNA, 429 nt
Filed under: Chloroflexota bacterium
Lineage: Bacteria; Bacillati; Chloroflexota
Description: Chloroflexi bacterium partial 16S ribosomal RNA
Rfam family: Bacterial small subunit ribosomal RNA
Source: RNAcentral